Long non-coding RNA from Fundulus heteroclitus (mummichog), 328 nucleotides. RefSeq lists it as uncharacterized. The transcript has 3 exons. Lineage: Eukaryota; Metazoa; Chordata; Actinopteri; Cyprinodontiformes; Fundulidae. The record is from RefSeq and is a predicted model, not a curated record.
GGUAGAGAUCAAAGGUCAGAAGCUCAGGCUCCAUUUUGUCUUUGAAGAACAAACAGAAGAAACACGUCGGUGUCAGAAUUAAAGGCUGACUGAACUCCAGAAGAUGGAGAACAGAGCAGAACCUCCAGGAUCCAGCUGUCCGUCUAUUAGGAGUGACCGGUCCAAAGAGAAGAAUCCAGACUUCAGUGAAGAACCUGGACCCUCAGACUCAGAAGGUCAGAACCACAGACAGAGAGCAGAACCUCCAGGAUCCAGCUGUCCGUCUAUGAGGAGUAACUGGUCCAAAGGUCACCCUCCAGACUUCAGUGAAGAACCUGGACCCUCAGAC